GACGAACGCUGGCGGCGUGCUUAACACAUGCAAGUCGAACGGAAAGGCCCUGCUUUUGCGGGGUGCUCGAGUGGCGAACGGGUGAGUAACACGUGAGUAACCUGCCCUUGACUUUGGGAUAACUUCAGGAAACUGGGGCUAAUACCGGAUAGGAGCUCCUGCUGCAUGGUGGGGGUUGGAAAAUUUCGGCGGUUGGGGAUGGACUCGCGGCUUAUCAGCUUGUUGGUGGGGUAGUGGCUUACCAAGGCUUUGACGGGUAGCCGGCCUGAGAGGGUGACCGGCCACAUUGGGACUGAGAUACGGCCCAGACUCCUACGGGAGGCAGCAGUGGGGAAUAUUGCACAAUGGGCGGAAGCCUGAUGCAGCAACGCCGCGUGCGGGAUGACGGCCUUCGGGUUGUAAACCGCUUUCGCCUGUGACGAAGCGUGAGUGACGGUAAUGGGUAAAGAAGCACCGGCUAACUACGUG
Molecule: ribosomal RNA, 468 nt
Filed under: uncultured bacterium
Lineage: Bacteria
Description: partial 16S ribosomal RNA
Rfam family: Bacterial small subunit ribosomal RNA
Source: RNAcentral